Long non-coding RNA from Orcinus orca (killer whale), 982 nucleotides. RefSeq lists it as uncharacterized. NCBI's taxonomy places the organism in Eukaryota, Metazoa, Chordata, Mammalia, Artiodactyla, Delphinidae. The record is from RefSeq and is a predicted model, not a curated record. The transcript has 3 exons.
CGCCCCAGUGCCGCAGCCGCCCGCCCCGCCCCGCGCGCCGCGGUGCGCCCCGAGCGGCGGCCGCUUCCGGGAGGGCUGGGGCGACCCUACCCGGGCGGCUCCUCCAGCCCCCGGGAGUAGGGGGCGAGGGGGUUGGUCCGGCCUGAAGCGCGGUCCCAGCCACGGUCCUUCCCGCGCCGCCCGCGCCUGCGCCCCACUCCCAGUCCCUUCGCUCUGGGCCAGCCGGUCCUUCCGUCCCGGGCCGCCCGCCCGGUGACUCUGCCGAGCCCUCUGCACCCCUAUCUCGGCCUCGGCCCCGCCGCCAGCGCCCGCGCUGCCCCGCUCCGGCUCGGGUCCCUCGGAGCUCAAGUUUCGACCCUCCGCCGGAUCGGGUUCCCGGCGCUCCUCGCUUCUGCGCCAUCCAUCCCCGCGCGGGGCUCUCGCCCACCAAGCCCCGCACCCCUCAGCCACCCCAGCUUCCGCGAGGCCAAGCCCUCGUCCGUCCAGGACAGGUUACCGGACCAGCUGGAGGAGGGGCCUGUGAGCGGUGUGACCCUGUGCACCCGCCCCGUGAUUCUCCCAGAGCUACCCCCAGAAUUCCUUUUUGGGCUAGGGUCGCGAGGGUCGCGAGGGACGCUGCGGAGUUGAGUACUCGACUAGGGAAGGGACCUCCAAUCUCUGUCUCCCCACCCCCCAAAACUCAGAGCAGGAAACUAGCUUGGCUGAGAAGACCCAGGCCUAAUAACCUGGGGAGCUGUGGAGCACCCAGAAGAAAGUGGAAAAGCUGGGAGAUGUGAGGGUCGAAGUGAUGGCCCUUCCCUUUUGUGGGCAUUUCUGAUCUGGGGGCCAGCUGCAACCUGUGGUCUGUCACUGCAAGAGAAAGAAGAGGAAAAGACAGACGCUAAAAGAACUCAGAUAGAAAGACACACCUGUUGGAUGUGCAGGAUGAGCAGGAGCCCACGAAGGGAAGGAGAGAGAAUGAGUGAGAGAGAGCCCAAGGCAG